Molecule: ribosomal RNA, 554 nt
Filed under: Pseudomonas sp. A18(2015)
Lineage: Bacteria; Pseudomonadati; Pseudomonadota; Gammaproteobacteria; Pseudomonadales; Pseudomonadaceae
Description: bacterial SSU rRNA
Rfam family: Bacterial small subunit ribosomal RNA
Source: RNAcentral
AAACGGACGCUAAUACCGCAUACGUCCUACGGGAGAAAGCAGGGGACCUUCGGGCCUUGCGCUAUCAGAUGAGCCUAGGUCGGAUUAGCUAGUUGGUGAGGUAAUGGCUCACCAAGGCGACGAUCCGUAACUGGUCUGAGAGGAUGAUCAGUCACACUGGAACUGAGACACGGUCCAGACUCCUACGGGAGGCAGCAGUGGGGAAUAUUGGACAAUGGGCGAAAGCCUGAUCCAGCCAUGCCGCGUGUGUGAAGAAGGUCUUCGGAUUGUAAAGCACUUUAAGUUGGGAGGAAGGGCAUUAACCUAAUACGUUGGUGUCUUGACGUUACCGACAGAAUAAGCACCGGCUAACUCUGUGCCAGCAGCCGCGGUAAUACAGAGGGUGCAAGCGUUAAUCGGAAUUACUGGGCGUAAAGCGCGCGUAGGUGGUUCGUUAAGUUGGAUGUGAAAUCCCCGGGCUCAACCUGGGAACUGCAUUCAAAACUGUCGAGCUAGAGUAUGGUAGAGGGUGGUGGAAUUUCCUGUGUAGCGGUGAAAUGCGUAGAUAUAGGAAG